UACAGAGGGUGCGAGCGUUAAUCGGAAUUACUGGGCGUAAAGCGUGCGUAGACGGUUAUUUAAGUCGGAUGUGAAAGCCCCGGGCUCAACCUGGGAAUUGCAUUCGAGACUGAAUAGCUAGGGUGCGGUAGAGGGAAGCGGAAUUUCCGGUGUAGCGGUGAAAUGCGUAGAUAUCAGGAGGAACACCGGUGGCGAAGGCGGGUCUCUGGGCCGAUACUGACGCUGAGGAGCGAAAGCGUGGGGAGCGAACAGG
This 253-nucleotide ribosomal RNA is filed under the name uncultured bacterium. Its description in RNAcentral is "partial 16S ribosomal RNA". It matches the Rfam family "Bacterial small subunit ribosomal RNA", at positions 524 to 776 of the family's 1533-position model. The record is from RNAcentral.